This is a long non-coding RNA of Cyprinus carpio (common carp), 1495 nucleotides long. The record is from Ensembl. Lineage: Eukaryota; Metazoa; Chordata; Actinopteri; Cypriniformes; Cyprinidae.
UUUUCAGUUACUGAUUAAGCUAAAUUGUUUGUAUCAGUUGCAUUGUAUUAUGUAUUGCUUUUACACUACUGCUUGUUAAUAUGUGCGCGCGCGGUGUGUGUGUGUGUGUGUGUGUGUAAUGUUUAUGUCUUCCAGAGUCCCUGCAGACUCAGAUUGACAAUCUUGAGAAAACCCGUCUGAAGCAGCUUCAUAUUAUGGAGGCUCGUAUGGCUACAUCAGAGGAAAUCAGUGCUCAAGCUUUGCCUACUAAAUCUACUAAAAAGCGCAAGAAAGUUACACAUGCCAAUGCCCCUGAUGAAGAAGUCCAGCGCCAUACAGAGGACAGGAAGAGCAGGAAUCUAUCUAUCUUUCUUUGUCUGUCUGUCCUUAUUUCUGUUUCUAUAAAAAUGGGGGAAUUUUCCACUGAUCCCUUGAAAUUAAGCAACAGAUGAGGUCAUCGUCUUGCCUGUGAUUGGUUAGUAUGAAUACCUGUUUGUUACCAAGCUUUUCCCAGCUGGGUGCAAAUUGAGAGAGAAUCUAAGAAUAUUUAUAACUUGGUGUGUGUGUAGUUACUGAACACACAUUUAUGCUUGGAUCUAUAUUUGGUAAACAUCAACCUGUCUGAAUGCUGACGGAGUAGGUGUAAACUGUAAUUUUCCAAUAAGUUUUAUGUCAGAGGCAUGAUGAUAUCUUGAUAUAUAAUUCAAGAUCAGUAUCUUGUUUGUCUCUCUCAUCCAUGCAGCUGCAGACUUUCAGCAAAACGUACGUAGGCCUUGCAGGAGCAGGAACUUUAUGAUGUGUUACUCAGCACAAAGAUUUUUUCUUUUCAGUGUUUCACCCGAGCUCGAUGUGGGCGGAAUGCAGCCAUUAGACAGGAACGAGUGGGUGAAAUGUUAGUUAACCGUUUUACCGCCCAUGGCCAUUAUAAUCUAUGUUAUAGCAGCACACAUACCUCCUAUUGGGUUUUUGUUUUUUCCUUUAAAACCUUGGUUGUGAAAUUUUGAAAUGUCAAAUGUUAGUUAUUCUGGAAGUUAUAGUCAUACUGUGUGAUGAGAUUGAAUAUGACUGACAGCACUGAACUGAAACUGUCUUACUGGCCUAUAUUACCGAAGGUUGCAGCUGUCAGCUUGUCUGUGGUCAAUGUAUAAUACCUCACUUCCUCCUUUUUGAACUUUAUCUAUAUUUUUAUACGGCUUCUUUUGUAUAUUUAAUUUCUAAAUUCUAACAAUUAGAUAUCAGUCAACAUUCUCAGAUAUUAUAUGUAUACAGUAGGGUUUUUUAAUGUGAUGUUAGUCGAGGGUGCUGGUAUAAAAUGGAAGUGUCAUGAUUAUAUUUCCAAGUUGUAUCAACAUUCAUACUGUAUUUUAAAUAAGCUCUAUUGAAUAUUGUCAAAGUUAAAUAUACUGUAAUGCCAGACAAGAAACUAUUAUACUUUUAUAAAUGAUAAAAUGAGCAAAAAUGUAUAAAUGCAACUAUUCAAAAUAAAGUUGUAUAAAUUGCCCCCUUGUGGCUGUAC